GGGUAUGCUUCUUCGGGAGCAGAGACCGGCGCACGGGUGCGUAACGCGUAUGCAAUCUACCUUUUACAGAGGGAUAGCCCAGAGAAAUUUGGAUUAAUACCUCAUAGUAUAAUAGCUCGGCAUCGAGCAAUUAUUAAAGUCACAACGGUAAAAGAUGAGCAUGCGUCCCAUUAGCUAGUUGGUAAGGUAACGGCUUACCAAGGCUACGAUGGGUAGGGGUCCUGAGAGGGAGAUCCCCCACACUGGUACUGAGACACGGACCAGACUCCUACGGGAGGCAGCAGUGAGGAAUAUUGGACAAUGGGCGCAAGCCUGAUCCAGCCAUGCCGCGUGCAGGAUGACGGUCCUAUGGAUUGUAAACUGCUUUUGUACAGGAAGAAACAGUUCUACGUGUAGAACCUUGACGGUACUGUAAGAAUAAGGAUCGGCUAACUCCGUGCCAGCAGCCGCGGUAAUACGGAGGAUCCAAGCGUUAUCCGGAAUCAUUGGGUUUAAAGGGUCCGUAGGCGGUUUAAUAAGUCAGUGGUGAAAGCCCAUCGCUCAACGGUGGAACGGCCAUUGAUACUGUUAAACUUGAAUUAUUAGGAAGUAACUAGAAUAUGUAGUGUAGCGGUGAAAUGCUUAGAGAUUACAUGGAAUACCAAUUGCGAAGGCAGGUUACUACUAAUUGAUUGACGCUGAUGGACGAAAGCGUGGGUAGCGAACAGGAUUAGAUACCCUGGUAGUCCACGCCGUAAACGAUGGAUACUAGCUGUUGGGAGCAAUUUCAGUGGCUAAGCGAAAGUGAUAAGUAUCCCACCUGGGGAGUACGUUCGCAAGAAUGAAACUCAAAGGAAUUGACGGGGGCCCGCACAAGCGGUGGAGCAUGUGGUUUAAUUCGAUGAUACGCGAGGAACCUUACCAAGGCUUAAAUGUAGAUUGACCGGUUUGGAAACAGAUCUUUCGCAAGACAAUUUACAAGGUGCUGCAUGGUUGUCGUCAGCUCGUGCCGUGAGGUGUCAGGUUAAGUCCUAUAACGAGCGCAACCCCUGUUGUUAGUUGCCAGCGAGUC
RNAcentral lists this ribosomal RNA (1051 nucleotides) under Flavobacterium sp. Its description in RNAcentral is "bacterial SSU rRNA". It matches the Rfam family "Bacterial small subunit ribosomal RNA", at positions 66 to 1127 of the family's 1533-position model. Lineage: Bacteria; Pseudomonadati; Bacteroidota; Flavobacteriia; Flavobacteriales; Flavobacteriaceae. The record is from RNAcentral.